UACGGAGGGUGCGAGCGUUGUCCGGAAUCAUUGGGCGUAAAGGGCGCGUAGGUGGCGGGACAAGCGUGCGGUGAAAGCCCGGGGCUCAACCCCGGGUCGGCCGUGCGAACUGUUUUGCUUGAGCACUGUAGAGGCAGGCGGAAUUCCGGGUGUAGCGGUGGAAUGCGUAGAGAUCCGGAAGAACACCGGUGGCGAAGGCGGCCUGCUGGGCAGUAGCUGACACUGAGGCGCGACAGCGUGGGGAGCAAACAGG
This 253-nucleotide ribosomal RNA is filed under the name uncultured bacterium. RNAcentral describes it as "partial 16S ribosomal RNA". It matches the Rfam family "Bacterial small subunit ribosomal RNA", at positions 524 to 776 of the family's 1533-position model. The record is from RNAcentral.